Molecule: ribosomal RNA, 517 nt
Filed under: uncultured bacterium
Lineage: Bacteria
Description: bacterial SSU rRNA
Rfam family: Bacterial small subunit ribosomal RNA
Source: RNAcentral
GAGUUUGAUCCUGGCUCAGGAUGAACGCUGGCGGCGUGCUUAACACAUGCAAGUCGAGCGAAGCGCUUACGACAGAACCUUCGGGGGAAGAUGUAAGGGACUGAGCGGCGGACGGGUGAGUAACGCGUGGGUAACCUGCCUCAUACAGGGGGAUAACAGUUGGAAACGGCUGCUAAUACCGCAUAAGCGCACAGUAUCGCAUGGUACGGUGUGAAAAACUCCGGUGGUAUGAGAUGGACCCGCGUCUGAUUAGCUAGUUGGAGGGGUAACGGCCCACCAAAGCGACGAUCAGUAGCCGGCCUGAGAGGGUGAACGGCCACAUUGGGACUGAGACACGGCCCAAACUCCUACGGGAGGCAGCAGUGGGGAAUAUUGCACAAUGGGGGAAACCCUGAUGCAGCGACGCCGCGUGAGUGAAGAAGUAUUUCGGUAUGUAAAGCUCUAUCAGCAGGGAAGAAAGUGACGGUACCUGAAUAAGAAGCCCCGGCUAACUACGUGCCAGCCGCCGCGGUAAUAC